AACCAUAGAAACCUGCGGAGUACCUGCGGAAGGAUCAUUACACAAUACAAUAUGAAGGCUGUCCGCAGCUGGAGUAUUUUAUUACCCUUGUCUUUUGCGCACUUGUUGUUUCCUGGGCGGGUUCGCUCGCCACCAGGACCACCAAAUAAACCUUUUUUAUGCAGUUGCAAUCAGCGUCAGUACAAACAAUGUAAAUCAUUUACAACUUUCAACAAUGGAUCUCAGAUCGGAAGAGCACAC
Molecule: unclassified non-coding RNA, 240 nt
Filed under: soil metagenome
Description: partial contains 5.8S ribosomal RNA, internal transcribed spacer 2, and large subunit ribosomal RNA
Source: RNAcentral